UUGAAACACUUGUUCCUAUAUGACCACUGAAGUUAAGUAACAUUGAGCCUGGUCAGUACCAAGAUGGGUGAUGACAUCAGAAUACCAGGUACUGUAU
Non-coding RNA from Acanthosepion pharaonis, 97 nucleotides. Lineage: Eukaryota; Metazoa; Mollusca; Cephalopoda; Sepiida; Sepiidae. The record is from the annotation of a GenBank genome assembly.